CGAACAACCAAUCAUUGACAACAUUGCCCCACUCGUAUCAAGGAAGUUGGAGCCAAUCGUUUAAAGACGCAACAUCUGUUAUCUCACGUUAGAUUGUUACGUCUGAGAGAUUCGUAUUCAAUAACAGACAGCUGAUAACGCUUGGCAUGUCACCACAUCAAGAGCAGAAAUCUGAAUUUUUCGAUGACUAACCGAACAAAAGAAACUUGACCGUCUACCGUAUCUCAAAAUUCUCUAACAGCAACAACAGAGAAGAUUUUGUUAUAGCAUACACGAUUAUUUAAUAAACGAUAAAGAACAAAGAUGGGACACCACGUAUGCCCAAAAUGCAUAUAAAAUCGCUCGUGACGUUUGCGCCUUGCGAAACACGAAGGAAAGCAUAGCACAUGGAAGUAGGAAAAUAAAAUUGAAUAUGAGUGAUCCGAUUAGCCACAUAUAUACAUUAACAAGUUUUAUUAUAUGGAAUUGCACAGGCAUUUAUCAGAAGACGAUUCUUUAUUCACUGGAGAAUGAUUCCCAUCAUGAAAAUCAAUGUUCAGCUUGCAGGUUAGUUAACGUACACUAACGAGACGACAAUAAACUGCAGGAAGAAGUCUCUAACUCGUCUGGGCGAAGAUCCAGGGCUGGUGAGCAGCGGUAUAACUGUAAUAUUCAUACAAGUCUUUGACAAGAUAAAAAAAAGAAGAACCAAAGUUUUCAAGAGUGCCGGAUUCAAGUGACAAUGCCUGCAGUACCAAUCACACGUAAAUUACGUAACAAUUGCAAAGCAUUUUAAAAGACGUAAAUUUUAACUAUCUGGCUUUGUAACAGCAAGUGAUGGAUUUCGCGUGUGCAUAAGGUAGCCAGACUUAAGAGACAGAGAGAGAGGAAUAAAAGGGAACUGGUCCAGCUACCUACGAGCUACGUUAACAGUGGAUAGAAGGGGGGGCACGUGGAUGGAAGAGAGAGAUCAUUCUGGUUGAAUUCAUUGGUGUACGAUACCUUCGUCUUUCAAUGGAAGAUACUAAAGUUUUAGAAAGGUGCAAAGAUCCAAGAUCGAGCGAGAUAGAAGGUCGCGUAGCGAGGACAUCAUCCCCAUAGCCAAUAAGGACAGACACAGCCUAUUCCUCGUAGCUAGAGAGGAGGCGCACGAGAGUUUCGUGUCCUGUACCGUAGUUUCGAACGUGUCUAACGUCAGCUUCUCCUGAGAAAGAAAAGAUCAAAUCUCUAGAAAAAAAAAAAAAUAAGGAAAAAGAAGAAAAAAAGGAAAAAGAAAAGAAGCGUUCCCGCCGUUAACAUUAACUGUACAAGGUGAAUGAAGGAUGAACGGUUGAACGAUGUAUAUAUAUAUAUACACACACACCAUACCCACAGAUAUAUAUAUAUAUAUAUAUACAGACGCAACCCAAUUCUUUUUCUGUACAGAGAGAGAAUGUUACGACUGUUGGACUUGCCUUGGAACGACGUGGUUUACACCCAAAUAUUUAGUCGCCUGGAUCUACAGGACCUCGUGCGACUGCGAUGCCUUUCAACGGAGUUUGAAGUCCUGGUCGACAAUUACAUUGCCACUUGGGAAACGUUGGACCUCUCGCGGUGGCACGUGAGCUUCGAGCCGAGCGCCUUCGAGGUACUCGUAACGACCUGCAUGAGCCUCCGCCGAGUGAAUCUCACCGGCAGCGUCUGGCUAGGCUCCCGUCACGUGGUCGAGCUCCUGCACCGGCAUCCCGAGCUGACGCACCUGGACUUAAGCGGUUGCAACGGCGAGCACAUGCGAGGCUCCGACUUCGUCGAGAUAACCAAGUGCCGUAAUCUCACGUCCGUACGUUUACGAGGAUGCGCCUGGGUCGAGGAGCCAUUCCUAAUGAGCUUGCUCCGAUACAACGAGAACCUGCGUGAACUCGUACUAGCCGACUGCUAUCGCCUUUCCGACGAGGCUCUCCUCUCCAUGUUCCACGAGACGAGCAGAUGCAAGUGACAACUGGCCACGAGAGACGAACAUUCUGGGUUCACAAGAACAGCUCGGAUGAUCGUCGUUCCAAAACGUUCGUACGACCGCGCUUGGCAUAAUGGACGCGGUGCACGUGGUUCCAGGACCAAGGUUGACGUGCCUGUCUUUGAAAAAUGCCACCCUGUCGGACCGGAGCCUCUACGAGCUCGGCUCUCGCUGCAGGACCAUCCGUGAGUUAGAUCUGCGAUCCUGCUCAAAGAUCACCGACGCGGGCUUGCUCUCGCUGAGGUCGCUGCCGGCUUUAAAGAAGCUACGCGUCAGCGGCUGCGUCCUCAUUACGGAGCGCGGUCUGGCGUCGAUGCGUGGUCGUGUAGAAAUUGAUUUACCGGCCAAGCUGAUUUGUGGACCAGGGCCGUUGAGCCUGCAAGUUUGAUUGGGCAUCGUCGUGCAUCGGCUCUUCGAAAAAGCAACAAUGCGACAGGCUCGAGAAUCCCAUCUCACGACCAUGCUUCACUUCC
This is an RNA transcript of Cephus cinctus (wheat stem sawfly), 2445 nucleotides long. It is a transcript of the gene named F-box/LRR-repeat protein 15, with no coding region annotated. NCBI's taxonomy places the organism in Eukaryota, Metazoa, Arthropoda, Insecta, Hymenoptera, Cephidae. The transcript has 5 exons. The record is from RefSeq and is a predicted model, not a curated record.